Molecule: ribosomal RNA, 446 nt
Filed under: uncultured bacterium
Lineage: Bacteria
Description: partial 16S ribosomal RNA
Rfam family: Bacterial small subunit ribosomal RNA
Source: RNAcentral
CCAGACUCCUACGGGAGGCAGCAGUGGGGAAUAUUGCACAAUGGGGGAAACCCUGAUGCAGCAACGCCGCGUGAGUGAGGAAGUAUUUCGGUAUGUAAAGCUCUAUCAGCAGGGAAUAGAAAAGAAGGUACCUGAAAAAGAAGCCCCGGCUAACUCCGUGCCAGCAGCCGCGGUAAUACGUAGGGGGCAAGCGUUAUCCGGAUUUACUGGGUGUAAAGGGAGCGUAGACGGCAGAGCAAGUCUGAAGUGAAAGCCCGCGGCCCAACUGCGGGACUGCUUUGGAAACUGCCCGGCUAGAGUGCUGGAGAGGUAAGCGGAAUUCCUAGUGUAGCGGCGAAAUGCGUAGAUAUUAGGAGGAACACCAGUGGCGAAGGCGGCUUACUGGACAGUAACUGACGUUGAGGCUCGAAAGCGUGGGGAGCAAACAGGAUUAGAUACCCCUGUAC